CCUGAUGGCUAAUGGCUAAGCAUUGGGCUGCUAACCCAAAGGUCUGUGGUUCCAACCCACCCAGCGGGG
Molecule: transfer RNA, 69 nt
Filed under: Loxodonta africana (African savanna elephant)
Lineage: Eukaryota; Metazoa; Chordata; Mammalia; Proboscidea; Elephantidae
Rfam family: tRNA
About the family: Transfer RNA (tRNA) molecules are approximately 80 nucleotides in length. Their secondary structure includes four short double-helical elements and three loops (D, anti-codon, and T loops).
Source: Rfam by way of RNAcentral